RNAcentral lists this long non-coding RNA (845 nucleotides) under Homo sapiens (human). RNAcentral's name for it is "HSALNT0400779". The record is from RNAcentral. Lineage: Eukaryota; Metazoa; Chordata; Mammalia; Primates; Hominidae.
CGGAGUCUCGUUCACUCAGUGCUCAAUGGUGCCCAGGCUGGAGUGCAGUGGCGUGAUCUCGGCUCGCUACAACCUACACCUCCCAGCCGCCUGCCUUGGCCUCCCUAAGUGCCGAGAUUGCAGCCUCUGCCCGGCCGCCACCCCAUCUGGGAAGUGAGGAGUGUCUCUGCCUGGCCGCCCAUCGUCUGGGAUGUGAGGAGCCCCUCUGCCUGGCUGCCCAGUCUGGAAAGUGAGGAGCGUCUCCGCCCGGCCGCCAUCCCAUCUAGGAAGUGAGGAGCGCCUCUUCCCAGCCGCCAUCACAUCUAGGAAGUGAGGAGAGUCUCUGCCCGGCCGCCCAUCGUCUGAGAUGUGGGGAGCGCCUCUGCCCCGCCGCCCCAUCUGGGAUGUGAGAGCGCCUCUGCCCGGCCGAGACCCCGUCUGGGAGACAGAAUCUUGCCGCAUGACCCAGGCUAGAAUGCAGUGGUGUGAUCUCGGCCCUCUGCAACCUCCACCUCCCAGGUUCAAGCGAUUCUCAUGCCUCGGUCUCCCAAGUAGCUGGGAUUACAGGCAUGCACCACCAUGCCCAGCUAAUUUUUGUAUUUUUCGUAGAGACGUUCGCCAUAUUGGCCAGGCUGGUCUCAAACUCCUGGCCUCAAGUGAUCUGCCCACCUCGGCCUCCCAAAGUGCCAGCAGCAUGCUCGGAGGAGUGACUUUAAAGCUUUUCUACUUGCUUCCUAGAGUAAGGGACGCAUUUUACACUGCUAUCCAAAACUCAUCAUAGAAACAUACACACACAAAACCAAAGCACACAUAUACAACUGAGCAAAUAUUUCAUGACAUAACACUUUCUCUUACUAAGGGUGACG